AGUGAACGCUGGCGGUAGGCCUAACACAUGCAAGUCGAACGGCAGCACAGUAAUAGCUUGCUCUUACGGGUGGCGAGUGGCGGACGGGUGAGGAAUACAUCGGAAUCUACUUUUUCGUGGGGGAUAACGUAGGGAAACUUACGCUAAUACCGCAUACGACCUACGGGUGAAAGCAGGGGAUCUUCGGACCUUGCGCGAUUGAAUGAGCCGAUGUCGGAUUAGCUAGUUGGCGGGGUAAAGGCCCACCAAGGCGACGAUCCGUAGCUGGUCUGAGAGGAUGAUCGGCCACACUGGAACUGGGACACGGUCCAGACUCCUACGGGAGGCAGCAGUGGGGAAUAUUGGACAAUGGGCGCAAGCCUGAUCCAGCCAUACCGCGUGGGUGAAGAAGGCCUUCGGGUUGUAAAGCCCUUUUGUUGGGAAAGAAAAGCAGCAGGUUAAUACCCCGCUGUUCUGACGGUACCCAAAGAAUAAGCACCGGCUAACUUCGUG
RNAcentral lists this ribosomal RNA (492 nucleotides) under uncultured bacterium. Its description in RNAcentral is "partial 16S ribosomal RNA". It matches the Rfam family "Bacterial small subunit ribosomal RNA", at positions 29 to 507 of the family's 1533-position model. The record is from RNAcentral.